This 703-nucleotide ribosomal RNA is filed under the name uncultured bacterium. RNAcentral's name for it is "bacterial SSU rRNA". It matches the Rfam family "Bacterial small subunit ribosomal RNA", at positions 9 to 720 of the family's 1533-position model. The record is from RNAcentral.
GAGUUUGAUCAUGGCUCAGGACGAACGCUGGCGGCGUGCUUAACACAUGCAAGUCGAACGGAUGCAUCAUUGGUAGCAACACCCUUGGUGUGUUAGUGGCGAACGGGUGAGUAACACGUGAGAAACCUGCCUCGAAGACGGGGAUAACAGUUGGAAACGACUGCUAAUACCCGAUAUCUCCAUCUGGUCGCAUGGCCGGGUGAAGAAAUGGAUUCCGCUUCGAGAGGGUCUCGCGGGCUAUCAGCUAGUUGGUGAGGUAACGGCUCACCAAGGCGACGACGGCUAGCUGGUCUGAGAGGACGACCAGCCACACUGGGACUGAGACACGGCCCAGACUCCUACGGGAGGCAGCAGUGGGGAAUCUUGCGCAAUGGGCGAAAGCCUGACGCAGCAACGCCGCGUGUGGGACGAAGGCUCUCGGGUUGUAAACCACUUUCAGCAGGAACGAAAUUGACGGUACCUGCAGAAGAAGCACCGGCCAACUACGUGCCAGCAGCCGCGGUAAUACGUAGGGUGCAAGCGUUGUCCGGAUUCAUUGGGCGUAAAGAGCUCGUAGGCGGCUUUGUAAGUCGGGUGUGAAAACCCCAGGCUCAACCUGGGGACGCCACUCGAUACUGCAAUAGCUAGAGUCUGGUAGGGGAUCACGGAAUUCCUGGUGUAGCGGUGAAAUGCGCAGAUAUCAGGAGGAACACCGGUGGCGAAG